Molecule: ribosomal RNA, 253 nt
Filed under: uncultured bacterium
Lineage: Bacteria
Description: partial 16S ribosomal RNA
Rfam family: Bacterial small subunit ribosomal RNA
Source: RNAcentral
UACGUAGGGUGCAAGCGUUAAUCGGAAUUACUGGGCGUAAAGCGUGCGCAGGCGGUUAUGCAAGACAGAUGUGAAAUCCCCGGGCUCAACCUGGGAACUGCAUUUGUGACUGCAUGGCUUGAGUGCGGCAGAGGGGGAUGGAAUUCCGCGUGUAGCAGUGAAAUGCGUAGAUAUGCGGAGGAACACCGAUGGCGAAGGCAAUCCCCUGGGCCUGCACUGACGCUCAUGCACGAAAGCGUGGGGAGCAAACAGG